CAGUCGCCGCGGGAAUACAGAGGGUGCGAGCGUUAAUCGGAUUUACUGGGCGUAAAGCGUGCGUAGGCGGCUUCUUAAGUCGGAUGUGAAAUCCCUGAGCUUAACUUAGGAAUUGCAUUCGAUACUGGGAAGCUAGAGUAUGGGAGAGGAUGGUAGAAUUCCAGGUGUAGCGGUGAAAUGCGUAGAGAUCUGGAGGAAUACCGAUGGCGAAGGCAGCCAUCUGGGACAACACUGACGCUGAGGCACGAAAGCGUGGGGAGCAAACAGGAUUAGAUACCCGCGUAGUCCCUGUCUCUUAUAC
Molecule: ribosomal RNA, 301 nt
Filed under: uncultured bacterium
Lineage: Bacteria
Description: partial 16S ribosomal RNA
Rfam family: Bacterial small subunit ribosomal RNA
Source: RNAcentral